UACGGAGGGUGCAAGCGUUAUCCGGAUUCACUGGGUUUAAAGGGAGCGUAGGAGGGCAGGUAAGUCAGUGGUGAAAUCUUCGAGCUUAACUCGGAAACUGCCGUUGAUACUAUCUGUCUUGAAUACCGUGGAGAUGAGCGGAAUAUGUCAUGUAGCGGUGAAAUGCUUAGAUAUGACAUAGAACACCAAUUGCGAAGGCAGCUCGUUACACGAAUAUUGACUCUGAGGCUCGAAAAGCGUGGGGAUCAAACAGG
RNAcentral lists this ribosomal RNA (254 nucleotides) under uncultured bacterium. RNAcentral describes it as "partial 16S ribosomal RNA". It matches the Rfam family "Bacterial small subunit ribosomal RNA", at positions 524 to 776 of the family's 1533-position model. The record is from RNAcentral.